GAGUCCCGGCUGUUUUCAAACCUCUUUCAUAAGACUACAUGUAGUUUUGCUUGAGGACAAGCAAAAUGGUAAGUCUGGGGGAGUUGAUAGGCCAUGGAUUUUACCCUCUUUUUGCCAUGGUUUAUAAGUGUUUUAAUAACUAAUUACUACUAGAUAGAGUCUAUUUAGAGUAUUUACAAGUUCAUGGACGAUUUGGAGGAAAGUGGUGAUUUUGGUGUCUUUUGAUGGAGACCUUCCCACAGUUAGAUUGAGCCCAUAUCUUGAUACAAGAUAGAGCUUUGAGUUAGCUUUCCAAUGCCACCGGUUUGAGGCCAAUCAACAUAUCAUAGAAGAAAUUAUGCAUGUUUUACUGAAGAGUUGUCAGUCUGCCUCGCGAGAAGAAGCUGUCGAGGAGACUGUCGAUCAACGGUGCACCCUUGGUGUCGAUCGACGGU
Molecule: long non-coding RNA, 434 nt
Filed under: Brassica napus (rape)
Lineage: Eukaryota; Viridiplantae; Streptophyta; Magnoliopsida; Brassicales; Brassicaceae
Description: long non-coding RNA (BNAP_LNC018087)
Source: RNAcentral